Molecule: long non-coding RNA, 350 nt
Filed under: Pan troglodytes (chimpanzee)
Lineage: Eukaryota; Metazoa; Chordata; Mammalia; Primates; Hominidae
Description: long non-coding RNA NONPTRT005924
Source: RNAcentral
GGGUAUUGCUGCGGCUGGCGCGGCGUCGCUCUAGUCUUAUCUGCAGAUAUGUACAGACUACAUCCUAAGAUUGACUUCUGCCUCAACAGAAAUACAUGAGCCAGUGCCUUAUUGGAAAUGAUUUGCGUGUUUUAAGAACUGGUGUAUAUAGGUACAUCUUGAAUGUUCUGCUUUCCUUGCCUUAUGCCUGUACUUCACCUCAGCCUUCAAUUCCAUUGUGUUUCCUUGCUACUUGGUAUCUUGAAAUCUGGUACGAAACUAUUGCAUGAUCCCUGCACCUUUGCUUCUGCAUAUAUCAUAGCUCUCUUAUAGUGAGUGUGCACAAUCUAUUUCAUUUGAUGUAAUCAAAG